GUGAGGAAUUUUCCGCAAUGGGCGAAAGACUGACCCAGCCAUGCCGCGUGCAGGAAGACGGCCCUCUGGGUUGUAAACUGCUUUUAUCUGGGAAGAAAAAGGCCAUGCGUGGCAAAUUGCCGGUACCAGAUGAAUAAGCACCGGCUAACUCCGUGCCAGCAGCCGCGGUAAUACGGAGGGUGCGAGCGUUGUCCGGAUUUAUUGGGUUUAAAGGGUGCGUAGGCGGCUGAUUAAGUCAGCGGUGAAAGACUUCGGCUUAACCGGAGCAGUGCCGUUGAUACUGGUUGGCUUGAGUGUCGGAGGGGUACAUGGAAUUGAUGGUGUAGCGGUGAAAUGCAUAGAUACCAUCAGGAACACCGAUAGCGAAGGCAUUGUACUGGCCGACAACUGACGCUGAUGCACGAAAGUGUGGGGAUCGAACAGGAUUAGAAACCCCAGUAGUCC
RNAcentral lists this ribosomal RNA (444 nucleotides) under uncultured bacterium. RNAcentral describes it as "partial 16S ribosomal RNA". It matches the Rfam family "Bacterial small subunit ribosomal RNA", at positions 354 to 796 of the family's 1533-position model. The record is from RNAcentral.